RNAcentral lists this ribosomal RNA (496 nucleotides) under uncultured bacterium. Its description in RNAcentral is "partial 16S ribosomal RNA". It matches the Rfam family "Bacterial small subunit ribosomal RNA", at positions 28 to 506 of the family's 1533-position model. The record is from RNAcentral.
GAUGAACGCUGGCGGCGUGCCUAACACAUGCAAGUCGAGCGAACGGACGAGAAGCUUGCUUCUCUGAUGUUAGCGGCGGACGGGUGAGUAACAUGUGGAUAACCUACCUAUAAGACUGGGAUAACUUCGGGAAACCGGAGCUAAUACCGGAUAAUAUUUUGAACCGCAUGGUUCAAAAGUGAAAGACGGUCUUGCUGUCACUUAUAGAUGGAUCCGCGCUGCAUUAGCUGGUUGGUAAGGUAACGGCUUACCAAGGCAACGAUGCAUAGCCGACCUGAGGGGGUGAUCCGCCACACUGAAGCUGAGACGCGGUCCAGCCUCCUACGGGAGGCAGCGGUAGGGACUCUUCCGCACUGGGCGGAAGCCUGCCGGAGCAACGCCGCGUGAGUGAUGAAGGUCUUCGGCUCGUAAAACUCUGUUAUUGGGGAAGAACAUAUGUGUAAGUAACUGUGCGCAUCUUGCCGGUACCUAAUCAGAAGGCCCCGGCUACCUCCGU